GACGAACGCUGGCGGCGUGCCUAAUACAUGCAAGUAGAACGCUGAAGAGAGGAGCUUGCUCUUCUUGGAUGAGUUGCGAACGGGUGAGUAACGCGUAGGUAACCUGCCUUGUAGCGGGGGAUAACUAUUGGAAACGAUAGCUAAUACCGCAUAACAAUGGAUGACACAUGUCAUUUAUUUGAAGGGGCAAUUGCUCCACUACAAGAUGGACCUGCGUUGUAUUAGCUAGUAGGUGAGGUAACGGCUCACCUAGGCGACGAUACAUAGCCGACCUGAGAGGGUGAUCGGCCACACUGGGACUGAGACACGGCCCAGACUCCUACGGGAGGCAGCAGUAGGGAAUCUUCGGCAAUGGGGGCAACCCUGACCGAGCAACGCCGCGUGAGUGAAGAAGGUUUUCGGAUCGUAAAGCUCUGUUGUAAGUCAAGAACGAGUGUGAGAGUGGAAAGUUCACACUGUGACGGUAGCUUACCAGAAAGGGACGGCUAACUACGUG
RNAcentral lists this ribosomal RNA (496 nucleotides) under uncultured bacterium. Its description in RNAcentral is "partial 16S ribosomal RNA". It matches the Rfam family "Bacterial small subunit ribosomal RNA", at positions 28 to 507 of the family's 1533-position model. The record is from RNAcentral.